UUCACGUCCCUGUGAAUUCUUGUGGCGCUUGCAGCAGAUGUACGUGACGGCGAUUAUUAUGCCGAUGAGCAGCAGGAUGAGGAAGAUGGCAGAAGCGAUCACGCCCACGGAAUAAACUGUGAAGGACGAAAACAACACGACAUCACAAAUCACUUUACUUAAACAAACUUGUGAUAGUGUUAAUUGGAUGUAACAUGGGUUAAAUACACAUUUAGUUAAAACUGUACAUUCGUUACGUUCCUGUGUGAAAGCGACACCUUAUAUUUCAUCAUGUUCUUGGUGAAUGCAUUUAGGAGACACACACACACACACAUUUGCCUCACUCUUGGAAUUUGAUCAGACUUUUUUUUUGGAGAUUUAUUUAACGCCUUGCUCCUUCGCCGGAGAAAUGAUUUCAAACCGUCAACGGAGACUGUGAGCACACAGAGGCGUGAGGGAAUUCAGUAGUCAUGUGAAGUAAAAGCUCAAAUAACAAAAAAAUUUGGGGUGCGUAUUGCUUCUCCACUUUUUCCCCUGAAAUAUUUUCCUGACGAGAUCAAGCAACAACUGCAGAAGCAAGAGUUUAGGAUGGACGUCCCUGCAGGCCCUGGUGAGUUGGGACACUUUUUUUACAUUUCAAAAUACAUUCAUUUAAAUUUAUAUCCCAAAAACUAUAAUUUUCAUCAAGUAAUCUUUAACUACCGUAAGAUGCAUUUACUUGGCUUUGUGGUCCAGUGUGUCCUAAUCCGAUAACUCGUAAUCUGAUGAGAUGAGAUUGGAAUCUUAAACGUGUGUGCGUGUUUACUUCUACUACGCCAGCUGACAAACAUGCAGUUUCUUAUUUCUUCCUGUAGAGGGCACCGUCGGACGGAACUCAAAACAGCGGCUGCUGCAUGUGAACGUAGGAGCGCAGCAGCAGCUGCCGGACUGUUUGUGUUGAAGAAUUCCUCCGUGAUCCGUCCGUCUCAGUCAAAGAUCAUCCUCUAAUCUGAUUCACUUUGAUCGGGGGGGGGGGGGGUUUCUCCAAUCCGUCACAUGACGCCAGACGGUCUGACAUCUGCAUCAAGGUAAACUUUCGACAACACGAUGCUUCCGUUUAAAGAUAAGAUGUUGACCACCGCAAAUUACAUGCAACUGGAAUGUGGCACCCAAUUGAUCCCUUUAUUUCCAGCAAAUGUGGAAAUCCUUAAAAAUGUACCUGCAACCUUUUUCCGUGUAACUUUCCUAUCAGUAUUGGAACAAAAAAAAACUGGUUUUCAUUCUCAUGUGUUCCUCUUAAUUUUCUGUAUUUUGUUUUUCCCGUCCCUUUGCCAGGUUUAUUCCAUCGAGGUUUGUCGUCCUGCCCCGCGUCUGCGUGAGACGACACGACCGGGUCGACCUGGGACGUGUGUGUGUGCACAAACCAGCCAACCGUUUUAUUUAUCCAUAGCAGUGGAGCUGCACAUCUUUGGUUCGCGGACAAAACAAAAACAUCACCUUGAGGGUUUUGGGAAAACACGAUCGACAGCUAAUUUGGUCGAUUAAUCGAGAAAACAAUCGACCGAUUAAUGGAUAAUGAAAACAAUGACACGCACGCACACGCACACACACACACACACACAAACACACACACACACACACACACACACACUCCAGGUUUUUAAACGAAUUCCUCAUCUCUCAUCGCGGGACCCUCCACCUGGACUCACCUGAGGCGCAGCGCGCGGACAG
This is a long non-coding RNA of Scophthalmus maximus (turbot), 1689 nucleotides long. RefSeq lists it as uncharacterized. The record is from RefSeq and is a predicted model, not a curated record. Lineage: Eukaryota; Metazoa; Chordata; Actinopteri; Pleuronectiformes; Scophthalmidae. The transcript has 3 exons.